RNAcentral lists this ribosomal RNA (247 nucleotides) under uncultured bacterium. RNAcentral's name for it is "partial 16S ribosomal RNA". It matches the Rfam family "Bacterial small subunit ribosomal RNA", at positions 523 to 769 of the family's 1533-position model. The record is from RNAcentral.
AUACGUAGGUGGCGAGCGUUGUCCGGAAUUACUGGGCGUAAAGGAUGCGUAGGCGGAUAUCUAAGUCAGAUGUGAAAUACCCGGGCUUAACUUGGGUGCUGCAUUUGAAACUGGAUGUCUAGAGUGCGGGAGAGGAAAGUGGAAUUCCUAGUGUAGCGGUGAAAUGCGUAGAGAUUAGGAAGAACACCGGUGGCGAAGGCGGCAACCUGGCUCAUGACUGACGCUGAGGCGCGAAAGCGUGGGGAGC